This is a long non-coding RNA of Myotis brandtii (Brandt's bat), 567 nucleotides long. RefSeq lists it as uncharacterized. The transcript is spliced from 2 exons. NCBI's taxonomy places the organism in Eukaryota, Metazoa, Chordata, Mammalia, Chiroptera, Vespertilionidae. The record is from RefSeq and is a predicted model, not a curated record.
CUCAGGGCCACACUCCAGGCUUCAGCGGACGGAUUCCAGGGCCGACCUCGGCGGAGCCACAGAGCCCCAAAGUGAAAUAAGUCCAGAUGUGCAUGUGAGCGAGUAAACAGCCUGUGGUCCAGCCAUCCAGCUGAACAGCGCGCCCCCGGCCAGAGGAGCAGCGUGGCACGGCCCCGGGGAGGGUGCCCAGGGGAGAGCCUGUCCCUGAGGCUGCGGCGUCCCGCACCGUUCCACUCGCCGAGGUCUGUGGAAUCAGGGCAAAUCGAGGGUUGCCCGACAUUAGUGGGGGGACGGGGGAGGGCGGGAAGCAGGCAUGGCUCCGGGAAGGCACGCCAGGGGCCUGCUCGGGGUCUGACACACCCACCCGCCCGAGAGAACACCGUGUCCAGCCCAGCACGCGACGAGCGCCCUCGAACCCGGGACCCGCGUCACCAUCCCGGCUGUGAGAUGAUGCUGCGUGUUGCCCGAUGUUGCCGUUUUGCGGGCAGUGGGCAAUGUGCACAAGGUGUCGCUCUGCCUGUGACCAGGUGUACAAUCAUCGCAAUAAAAAUUUCAAUGAGGCCAUAA